CGUGCCAGGGGGCGAGCGAGCGCCCGGAAGGCCGUCUUCUCCCUGUGGCUGUUCGUCUCAUCCUCCCAGCUCAUGCGCUGCUCCAAACGUCCCCUUUCCAUAAUUGAUAUGGGAUUAGCGCCCACCCUCGUGAUCUCACACGGACUUCUCUGAAAAGACUCUAUAUCCGGCCACACUCAGAGGAAUCCUGUUGGUCCCCCUUCUGACUUGACCUCCAUGGAAUCCAUUCUCACCUAUCAGGGCUCGCAAAAUGUAUGUUUUUGGGCCCCAGGAAACCUGGAUGUUAUACCCAUUUUGCAGGUGAGAAAAUAAACUCAAGAGAAGGUCUCAGUAUCACCCAGGGUCACAGUGAUAGAAGGAGAAGGAGCCAGAACUCAAAGGCCCUGCUCCUCCUCCUCCACGAUGCUGUCUCCACUGAGAGCCAUUGAUGCACAUUGAUCUUUGGAGGAGCACAAAAAAAGUGAGAUAGGACAUUCUAAAAACCCAGAGGACUCACUCAAAUUUCUAAAGAAGGACUCACCAUGACUUAUAGUGCUCCCUCCAUCCCAUCUCCCUUCCGGACCAGUGUCUGCAGAGAAUUCCACCUACAGUCAGCACCGGCGUCACUGUGCAGGCUCAAAGCAAUCCAGGAAUCCAAGCACACUGCGGGAGUAAAGAUGGGUCACAUCAAAUGCCUUCUGGAACAUUCUGGAAGUACAGGCUAAUUCUUGAAAACCUACUGCAUGCCAGGCACUCACACCGGCAUCUGUCUUCUGCCACACGAAAAAUUAUUAUCUUUCUAAGAACAAGAAAAUAGAAACUAAGUUGCUCCAUUUCACAGAGAUAGUACGAGACAGACAAUAGGCUGGAAAGGCACUCUGCUCUGCCCCAAAGCCCACACCCAGGCCUCCAGGGGGAGGUUUUCUACCGGAGCUGGUUCACACUUAGGCACAUCAUGUCCAGGCAGGUGAUGCUGACAGCGUCACAGGUCCUUGCUUCGUGGCCCUCAUGUGCUGAAGCAGUCAGGCAGCCCUGCUCUUCGCCCAGCUGAGGUGAGCAGAUGAAAACAAAUGUUCUCUGUUUAUUAUCCUGCAAGAAUUGUUUUAUUAUCCUACACCAUGAAGUCCCAAACCCACUACCUCUGCUUUGCCCAGGCCCACCUGGACUUGUUCACAUCAGCCCCACUCUUCCUAGGAGUCCCUCCUGUGAGCAGUAAACUUUCUCUCAAAUUCU
Canis lupus familiaris (dog) is the source of this 1212-nucleotide long non-coding RNA. RefSeq lists it as uncharacterized. The record is from RefSeq and is a predicted model, not a curated record. NCBI's taxonomy places the organism in Eukaryota, Metazoa, Chordata, Mammalia, Carnivora, Canidae. The transcript has 3 exons.